This 429-nucleotide ribosomal RNA is filed under the name bacterium. RNAcentral describes it as "partial 16S ribosomal RNA". It matches the Rfam family "Bacterial small subunit ribosomal RNA", at positions 355 to 776 of the family's 1533-position model. The record is from RNAcentral.
UAGGGAAUCUUCGGCAAUGGGGGCAACCCUGACCGAGCAACGCCGCGUGAGUGAAGAAGGUUUUCGGAUCGUAAAGCUCUGUUGUAAGUCAAGAACGGGUGUGAGAGUGGAAAGUUCACACUGUGACGGUAGCUUACCAGAAAGGGACGGCUAACUACGUGCCAGCAGCCGCGGUAAUACGUAGGUCCCGAGCGUUGUCCGGAUUUAUUGGGCGUAAAGCGAGCGCAGGCGGUUUGAUAAGUCUGAAGUUAAAGGAUGUGGGCCAACCAUAGUUCGCUUUGGAAACUGUCAAACUUGAGUGCAGAAGGGGAGAGUGGAAUUCCAUGUGUAGCAGUGAAAUGCGUAGAUAUAUGGAGGAACACCGGUGGCGAAAGCGGCUCUCUGGUCUGUAACUGACGCUGAUGCUAGAAAGCGUAGGGAGCGAACAGG